RNAcentral lists this ribosomal RNA (328 nucleotides) under uncultured eukaryote. Its description in RNAcentral is "partial 18S ribosomal RNA". It matches the Rfam family "Eukaryotic small subunit ribosomal RNA", at positions 1470 to 1796 of the family's 1831-position model. The record is from RNAcentral.
CCCUUAGAUGUUCUGGGCUGCACGCGCGCUACACUGAUACCUUCAGCGAGUCCACCACCUUGCCUGGGAGGGUGGGGUAACCUCUGGAAAGUGCAUCGUGAUGGGGAUCGAUUAUUGCAAUUAUUAAUCUUGAACGAGGAAUUCCUAGUAAGCGCAAGUCAACUGCUCGCGUUGAUUACGUCCCUGCCCUUUGUACACACCGCCCGUCGCUACUACUGAUUGGAUGUUUAAGCGAGGUUCUCGAACUGCUAGCGACUUAGCUUCGGUGAGGUCGCAGUGUGGGAAGUGAACCUAGCUUUGGUGUCUAGAGGAAGUAAAAGUCGUAACA